This 2899-nucleotide ribosomal RNA is filed under the name Klebsiella pneumoniae. Its description in RNAcentral is "bacterial LSU rRNA". It matches the Rfam family "Bacterial large subunit ribosomal RNA". The record is from RNAcentral. Lineage: Bacteria; Pseudomonadati; Pseudomonadota; Gammaproteobacteria; Enterobacterales; Enterobacteriaceae.
UUAAGCGACUAAGCGUACACGGUGGAUGCCCUGGCAGUCAGAGGCGAUGAAGGACGUGCUAAUCUGCGAAAAGCGUCGGUAAGGUGAUAUGAACCGUUAUAACCGGCGAUGUCCGAAUGGGGAAACCCAGUGUGAUUCGUCACACUAUCGUUAACUGAAUACAUAGGUUAACGAGGCGAACCGGGGGAACUGAAACAUCUAAGUACCCCGAGGAAAAGAAAUCAACCGAGAUUCCCCCAGUAGCGGCGAGCGAACGGGGAGCAGCCCAGAGUCUGAAUCAGCUUGUGUGUUAGUGGAACGGUCUGGAAAGUCCGACGGUACAGGGUGAUAGUCCCGUACACCAAAAUGCACAGGUUGUGAACUCGAAGAGUAGGGCGGGACACGUGGUAUCCUGUCUGAAUAUGGGGGGACCAUCCUCCAAGGCUAAAUACUCCUGACUGACCGAUAGUGAACCAGUACCGUGAGGGAAAGGCGAAAAGAACCCCGGCGAGGGGAGUGAAAAAGAACCUGAAACCGUGUACGUACAAGCAGUGGGAGCACCUUCGGGUGUGACUGCGUACCUUUUGUAUAAUGGGUCAGCGACUUAUAUUCUGUAGCAAGGUUAACCGUAUAGGGGAGCCGCAGGGAAACCGAGUCUUAACUGGGCGUUAAGUUGCAGGGUAUAGACCCGAAACCCGGUGAUCUAGCCAUGGGCAGGUUGAAGGUUGGGUAACACUAACUGGAGGACCGAACCGACUAAUGUUGAAAAAUUAGCGGAUGACUUGUGGCUGGGGUGAAAGGCCAAUCAAACCGGGAGAUAGCUGGUUCUCCCCGAAAGCUAUUUAGGUAGCGCCUCGUGAACUCAUCUUCGGGGGUAGAGCACUGUUUCGGCUAGGGGGUCAUCCCGACUUACCAACCCGAUGCAAACUACGAAUACCGAAGAAUGUUAUCACGGGAGACACACGGCGGGUGCUAACGUCCGUCGUGAAGAGGGAAACAACCCAGACCGCCAGCUAAGGUCCCAAAGUCAUGGUUAAGUGGGAAACGAUGUGGGAAGGCACAGACAGCCAGGAUGUUGGCUUAGAAGCAGCCAUCAUUUAAAGAAAGCGUAAUAGCUCACUGGUCGAGUCGGCCUGCGCGGAAGAUGUAACGGGGCUAAACCAUGCACCGAAGCUGCGGCAGCGACACUAUGUGUUGUUGGGUAGGGGAGCGUUCUGUAAGCCUGCGAAGGUGACCUGUGAGGGUUGCUGGAGGUAUCAGAAGUGCGAAUGCUGACAUAAGUAACGAUAAAGCGGGUGAAAAGCCCGCUCGCCGGAAGACCAAGGGUUCCUGUCCAACGUUAAUCGGGGCAGGGUGAGUCGACCCCUAAGGCGAGGCCGAAAGGCGUAGUCGAUGGGAAACAGGUUAAUAUUCCUGUACUUGGUGUUACUGCGAAGGGGGGACGGAGAAGGCUAUGUUAGCCGGGCGACGGUUGUCCCGGUUUAAGCAUGUAGGCUGAUUGUCCAGGCAAAUCCGGAUAAUCAAGGCUGAGGUGUGAUGACGAGGCACUACGGUGCUGAAGUAACAAAUGCCCUGCUUCCAGGAAAAGCCUCUAAGCAUCAGGUAACAUCAAAUCGUACCCCAAACCGACACAGGUGGUCAGGUAGAGAAUACCAAGGCGCUUGAGAGAACUCGGGUGAAGGAACUAGGCAAAAUGGUGCCGUAACUUCGGGAGAAGGCACGCUGGUGUGUAGGUGAAGUCCCUGCGGAUGGAGCUGAGACCAGUCGAAGAUACCAGCUGGCUGCAACUGUUUAUUAAAAACACAGCACUGUGCAAACACGAAAGUGGACGUAUACGGUGUGACGCCUGCCCGGUGCCGGAAGGUUAAUUGAUGGGGUUAUCCGUAAGGAGAAGCUCUUGAUCGAAGCCCCGGUAAACGGCGGCCGUAACUAUAACGGUCCUAAGGUAGCGAAAUUCCUUGUCGGGUAAGUUCCGACCUGCACGAAUGGCGUAAUGAUGGCCAGGCUGUCUCCACCCGAGACUCAGUGAAAUUGAACUCGCUGUGAAGAUGCAGUGUACCCGCGGCAAGACGGAAAGACCCCGUGAACCUUUACUAUAGCUUGACACUGAACAUUGAGCCUUGAUGUGUAGGAUAGGUGGGAGGCUUUGAAGCGUGGACGCCAGUCUGCGUGGAGCCAACCUUGAAAUACCACCCUUUAAUGUUUGAUGUUCUAACGUUGGCCCCUUACCGGGGUUGCGGACAGUGUCUGGUGGGUAGUUUGACUGGGGCGGUCUCCUCCCAAAGCGUAACGGAGGAGCACGAAGGUUAGCUAAUCCUGGUCGGACAUCAGGAGGUUAGUGCAAUGGCAUAAGCUAGCUUGACUGCGAGCGUGACGGCGCGAGCAGGUGCGAAAGCAGGUCAUAGUGAUCCGGUGGUUCUGAAUGGAAGGGCCAUCGCUCAACGGAUAAAAGGUACUCCGGGGAUAACAGGCUGAUACCGCCCAAGAGUUCAUAUCGACGGCGGUGUUUGGCACCUCGAUGUCGGCUCAUCACAUCCUGGGGCUGAAGUAGGUCCCAAGGGUAUGGCUGUUCGCCAUUUAAAGUGGUACGCGAGCUGGGUUUAGAACGUCGUGAGACAGUUCGGUCCCUAUCUGCCGUGGGCGCUGGAGAAUUGAGGGGGGCUGCUCCUAGUACGAGAGGACCGGAGUGGACGCAUCACUGGUGUUCGGGUUGUCAUGCCAAUGGCACUGCCCGGUAGCUAAAUGCGGAAGAGAUAAGUGCUGAAAGCAUCUAAGCACGAAACUUGCCCCGAGAUGAGUUCUCCCUGAGACUUUAAGUCUCCUGAAGGAACGUUGAAGACGACGACGUUGAUAGGCCGGGUGUGUAAGCGCAGCGAUGCGUUGAGCUAACCGGUACUAAUGAACCGUGAGGCUUAACCUU